CAGAGGGUGCAAGCGUUAAUCGGAAUUACUGGGCGUAAAGCGCGCGUAGGUGGUUUGUUAAGUUGAAUGUGAAAUCCCCGGGCGUCAACCUGGGAACUGCAUCCAAAACUAGGCAAGCUAGAGUAGGGCGAGAGGGUGGUGGAAUUUCCUGUGUAGCGGUGAAAUGCGUAGAUAUAGGAAGGAACACCAGUGGCGAAGGCGACCACCUGGGCUCAUACUGACACUGAGGUGCGAAAGACGUGGGGAGCAAACAGGAUU
RNAcentral lists this ribosomal RNA (258 nucleotides) under uncultured bacterium. Its description in RNAcentral is "partial 16S ribosomal RNA". It matches the Rfam family "Bacterial small subunit ribosomal RNA", at positions 526 to 779 of the family's 1533-position model. The record is from RNAcentral.